UGAGGAAUAUUGGUCAAUGGGCGAGAGCCUGAACCAGCCAUGCCGCGUGCAGGAUGGCGGCUCUAUGAGUUGUAAACUGCUUUUGUAUGGGAGCAAUAAGCUCUACGCGUAGAGUGAUGAGAGUACCAUACGAAUAAGCUCCGGCUAACUACGUGCCAGCAGCCGCGGUAAUACGUAGGGAGCAAGCGUUAUCCGGAAUUAUUGGGUGUAAAGGGUGCGUAGACGGGAAUACAAGUUAGUUGUGAAAGCCCUCGGCUCAACCGAGGAACUGCAACUAAAACUAUAUUUCUUGAGUGUUGGAGAGGAAAGUGGAAUUCCUAGUGUAGCGGUGAAAUGCGUAGAUAUUAGGAGGAACACCAGUGGCGAAGGCGACUUUCUGGACAAUAACUGACGUUGAGGCACGAAAGUGUGGGGAGCAAACA
RNAcentral lists this ribosomal RNA (422 nucleotides) under uncultured bacterium. Its description in RNAcentral is "bacterial SSU rRNA". It matches the Rfam family "Bacterial small subunit ribosomal RNA", at positions 355 to 774 of the family's 1533-position model. The record is from RNAcentral.